RNAcentral lists this unclassified non-coding RNA (309 nucleotides) under plant metagenome. RNAcentral describes it as "partial contains 5.8S ribosomal RNA, internal transcribed spacer 2, and large subunit ribosomal RNA". The stretch from base 1 to 105 matches the Rfam family "5.8S ribosomal RNA", at positions 50 to 154 of the family's 154-position model. The record is from RNAcentral.
GAAAUGCGAUAAGUAAUGUGAAUUGCAGAAUUCAGUGAAUCAUCGAAUCUUUGAACGCACAUUGCGCCCGCCAGUAUUCUGGCGGGCAUGCCUGUUCGAGCGUCAUUUCAACCAUCAAGCCCCCGGGCUUGUGUUGGGGACCUGCGGCUGCCGCAGGCCCCGAAAACCAGUGGCGGGCUCGCUGUCACACCGGGCGUAGUAGAUUUUUCGUCUCACCCAGGGCGUGCUGCGGGUUCCGGCCGUUAAAAAGCCUCUCUUUUAACCCAAGGUUGACCUCGGAUCAGGUAGGAAGACCCGCUGAACUUAAGC